Long non-coding RNA from Helianthus annuus (common sunflower), 1237 nucleotides. RefSeq lists it as uncharacterized. NCBI's taxonomy places the organism in Eukaryota, Viridiplantae, Streptophyta, Magnoliopsida, Asterales, Asteraceae. The record is from RefSeq and is a predicted model, not a curated record. The transcript has 3 exons.
UUGAAUUUGCAGUUCCUAUCUCAACCACGUUCCUCCAACCGUUGCAGCCUAAAUUUAUGGCUAUAAACUUUCUUCCACCUCCCUUUGAACGAUCCAUUCCUAUAACACACCUCAUGCUUCUUCUCCCCAUUAUCUUCUUUCUGUUCAAGGAUUAAAUAUAGAACUCAUAUGUGAGUUCAAACCCUAGAAUUCCCCAUGUUGGUUUAGAUGCAACAAAUCCUCUUUUGCUCUAAUAGGAACAUUUUUUUCUCCUACUGCCCCCACCAGAUAUUACCGGAAUUUGGUAACGUGCUUUUAAUUUUGAAAAAGAUGUGAGAAGGAGAUCAUCCUAGGAAGAAAAAGUAGCGCAUUGAAUGGAAUUUUUAUGGUCUCUUGAUGAGAUUUUAAACGAUGACUGGCCACUAUAACCACAAGGUGCCCUUCCACUAACGGCAUCGGUGUUGGCUCUUUUCUCUACAACUACAAGAUUAUCUUGAAGCAUUUUUGGUUUAUGUGUGUUUGUGAUUUUGAGUUUAACCUAGACUUCUAAGAGAUGGGGAAGAAAGCUUAUGAUUUUGCGGGGUUUUAUAGCAUUUCUUAAGUCGAAAACAAGAACAGAUCAUUCUUUCGAUCUGGCGACUUUAUUUCACAUUUUCAUAAAGACAUGUAGCUUAAAAGGUUAAGGCCAUGUAUGGUUAUAAAGAAUCAAAUAUUUUAAACCAAUGUAGACAUGUAUUCAAAUAUCAAAUGCUUUAGACAUUUAUCUUUUUCUUUGGGUUCAUUUAGUAAUGUUAAUUUCCCAUGUUGGUUUUUCCCGACCUACACACGAUUCAUAACUUUAUUUCCAUAUUUAAUUCUUAAAAGCUAUGAAUCAGUUUCAAAGAGAGGCUACAUUCUGUGUUGGAUUAAACCCUGAGAGUUGUCAGACAAGGAUAUUUGGAAUGGGAGAAUUACAUUUGAAAGUUUAUGUGGAGCACUAAGAGGGAAUAUAUGGUACCAUACUUAAUCUUAGCUGAAAAUCAGUUUGUUGAUUAAGGAGCACUGUUAUAUUCAUCUAUCUACAUAUUGGAACUUGGAAGGAGCACUAUUUUUUACACCUAUCUACGUUGCUUCUUUUAAACUUUAUAAAUUUGUCGAAUGUUGGUGAGUGUUUCUUUUAAACUUUAUAUUACGAAUGGAUGUUUGUUGUUUAUUUAUGUUUUUAUGUUGGUGAGUGUUUCUUUUAAACCCUUGAACAUGUUAGUAUAUCGCCGGAGUU